GGAGCUGCAAACUGCCCUCAGGGCAAAGAAGCCUGCAGAAUAAUUGGGAGGAGUCUGGCAGGAAGGAAGCCAAGAAAGCACAAGCAAGAAUGUGUGAGAAGAUCACAGAGACCUAAAGAAGGGGAAGGGAAGAACCCACAUGUGAGAGAGAAGAGAUUGUCUGACUUGGUAAAUAGAUAUUGAAAACCAGAGGUCUCUUAGGGCUCCUCAUCUCAAGAAGCCAGCAGGCAAGGGAAGGACAAACCAUCCUUGCAGGAAUAAUUCGUACUGAUCAUUUGGAGGAGAUUCGGCUAGUAUAGCUGCUGUUACAUAAUGAAGAAAAGGAAGAAUAUGUUUCAAACUCAGAUGAACCACUGGGGAGUCUCUUGAUACUCUGUUGCCUAAUUUGGAUGGUUAAUGGGUAAGUGCAAUAGACACAGCCUCAGAAAGGCGUGGUAAUCAGAGACUUAAAUCCUCAGUUUCCAUAGUUAAGCUACUAAGAUCAUGAGAGGUGCUUCCUAGGAGUGAAGAGAAUCGGAAUGUCUAGGAAGGACAUCAUGAAAACUAGUUGUGCUCUUAAACCUAACUACAGUUGAUCCUCAAGGACUUGAGAGUUAGGAGCUCUGACCUCUGAGUAGGCAAAAAUUCACAUAUAACUUUUGGCUUUCCAAAACCUUAACUCAUAAUAGACUACUGUAGAGAAGGUUUACCUAUAAUGUAAACAGUUGAUUAACACAUAUGUUACGUUAUAUGCACUGUAUUCUUAUAACAAAGCAAGCUACGGAAAAGAAAAUGUUAUUAAGAAAAUCAUGAA
RNAcentral lists this long non-coding RNA (793 nucleotides) under Homo sapiens (human). RNAcentral describes it as "long intergenic non-protein coding RNA 3122". The record is from RNAcentral. Lineage: Eukaryota; Metazoa; Chordata; Mammalia; Primates; Hominidae.